UCAACGCUACUGAUGGAAAUGUGGUC
RNAcentral lists this non-coding RNA (26 nucleotides) under Homo sapiens (human). Lineage: Eukaryota; Metazoa; Chordata; Mammalia; Primates; Hominidae. The record is from RNAcentral.